This 498-nucleotide ribosomal RNA is filed under the name uncultured bacterium. Its description in RNAcentral is "partial 16S ribosomal RNA". It matches the Rfam family "Bacterial small subunit ribosomal RNA", at positions 30 to 523 of the family's 1533-position model. The record is from RNAcentral.
AUUGAACGCUGGCGGCAUGCCUUACACAUGCAAGUCGAACGGUAACAGGUCUCCGGAUGCUGACGAGUGGCGAACGGGUGAGUAAUACAUCGGAACGUGCCUAGUAGUGGGGGAUAACUACUCGAAAGAGUGGCUAAUACCGCAUGAGAUCUACGGAUGAAAGCAGGGGAUCGCAAGACCUUGUGCUACUAGAGCGGCCGAUGGCAGAUCAGGUAGUUGGUGGGAUAAAAGCUUACCAAGCCGACGAUCUGUAGCUGGUCUGAGAGGACGAUCAGCCACACUGGGACGGAGACACGGCCAAGACUCCGACGGGAGGCAGCAGUGGGGAAUUUUGGACAAUGGGAGCAAGCCUGAUCCAGCAAUGCCGCGUGCAGGAUGAAGGCCUUCGGGUUGUAAACUGCUUUUGUACGGAACGAAAAGCCCUGGGUUAAUACCCUGGGGUCAUGACGGUACCGUAAGAAUAAGCACCGGCUAACUACGUGCCAGCAGCCGCCGUAA